UCUUUUGCAAAUAGGUUUCCGACAGAAUUUCAUGGUGUCUGGACACUUUGUAUAUAUGUGUUGGAGGUUGAGCUCAAGUGUAUAAAUGCGGGAUUGUCCCUUCUUCCUUUAUUUAGACGUGCAAGUGUUUGUAUAAAUGUAUGCGUGUGUAAGUAUAAUUGUGUGAAUGUCCAACAUAUCUGGAAUUGAUGAGGCGGUUAAUUGAAGAUAUGAAGGAAAACAGUGAG
RNAcentral lists this long non-coding RNA (227 nucleotides) under Brassica rapa (field mustard). RNAcentral's name for it is "long non-coding RNA (BRAP_LNC005065)". Lineage: Eukaryota; Viridiplantae; Streptophyta; Magnoliopsida; Brassicales; Brassicaceae. The record is from RNAcentral.